GGACUACUCGGGUAUCUAAUCCCGUUCGCUACCCUGGCUUUCGUGUCUCAGCGUCAGCACACUCCCAGCUACCUGUUUUCACCCUUGGCGUUCCAAAUGAUAUCUACGCAUUUCACCGCUCCACCAUUUGUUCCGGUAGCCCCUAAGUGGCUCAAGACUCCCAGUAUGCCCAGCCGUUCCACGGGUAAGCCGUGGGAUUUCACAAGGCACUUAGAAGUCCGCCUACACACGCUUUAAGCCCAGUGAUUCCGCCUAACGCUCGAGGCCUCUGUAUUACCGCGGCUGCUGGCAC
Molecule: ribosomal RNA, 292 nt
Filed under: uncultured bacterium
Lineage: Bacteria
Description: partial 16S ribosomal RNA
Source: RNAcentral